GAUGAACGCUGGCGGCGUGCCUAAUACAUGCAAGUCGAGCGAACAGACGAGGAGCUUGCUCCUCUGACGUUAGCGGCGGACGGGUGAGUAACACGUGGAUAACCUACCUAUAAGACUGGGAUAACUUCGGGAAACCGGAGCUAAUACCGGAUAAUAUAUUGAACCGCAUGGUUCAAUAGUGAAAGACGGUUUUGCUGUCACUUAUAGAUGGAUCCGCGCCGCAUUAGCUAGUUGGUAAGGUAACGGCUUACCAAGGCAACGAUGCGUAGCCGACCUGAGAGGGUGAUCGGCCACACUAGAACUGAGACACGGUCCAGACUCCUACGGGAGGCAGCAGUAGGGAAUCUUCCGCAAUGGGCGAAAGCCUGACGGAGCAACGCCGCGUGAGUGAUGAAGGUCUUCGGAUCGUAAAACUCUGUUAUUAGGGAAGAACAAAUGUGGAAGUAACUAUGCACGUCUUGACGGUACCUAAUCAGAAAGCCACGGCUAACUACGUG
This 497-nucleotide ribosomal RNA is filed under the name uncultured bacterium. RNAcentral's name for it is "partial 16S ribosomal RNA". It matches the Rfam family "Bacterial small subunit ribosomal RNA", at positions 28 to 507 of the family's 1533-position model. The record is from RNAcentral.